AGUUGAGCGGAGAUAUAUGGAGCUUGCUUUAUAUAACUUAGCAGCGAACGGGUGAGUAACACGUAGAUAAUCUAUCCUAUACUGGGGGAUAGCCCGAUGAAAGUUGGAUUAAUACCGCAUAUAGCUAUAUAGUUGCAUGAUUAUGUAGUGAAAGAUUUAUUGGUAUAGGAGGAGUCUGCGGCACAUUAGCUAGUAGGUGAGGUAAAGGCUUACCUAGGCGACGAUGUGUAGCCGGUCUGAGAGGAUGAACGGCCACAAUGGAACUGAGACACGGUCCAUACUCCUACGGGAGGCAGCAGUGGGGAAUAUUGCACAAUGGGGGAAACCCUGAUGCAGCAACGCCGCGUGAGUGAAGAAGGUUUUCGGAUUGUAAAGCUCUGUUAGCAGGGAAGAGGAAGGACGGUACCUGCAGAGGAAGCCACGGCUAACUACGUGCCAGCAGCCGCGGUAAUACGUAGGUGGCAAGCGUUGUUCGGAAUAACUGGGCGUAAAGGAUGCGUAGGCGGUUAAACAAGUUAUAUGUUAAAUAUAUAGGCUUAACCUGUAGAAAGCAUAUAAAACUGUUUAACUAGAGUGCAGGAGAGGUAAGUGGAAUUCCUAGUGUAGCGGUGAAAUGCGUAGAGAUUAGGAAGAACACCAGUGGCGAAGGCGACUUACUGGACUGUAACUGACGCUGAGGCAUGAGAGCAUGGGGAGCAAACAGGAUUAGAUACCCUGGUAGUCCAUGCUGUAAACGAUGGGUACUAGGUGUGGGUUGUGAAUAACAAUUCG
Molecule: ribosomal RNA, 771 nt
Filed under: uncultured bacterium
Lineage: Bacteria
Description: bacterial SSU rRNA
Rfam family: Bacterial small subunit ribosomal RNA
Source: RNAcentral